Molecule: ribosomal RNA, 1047 nt
Filed under: Triticum aestivum (bread wheat)
Lineage: Eukaryota; Viridiplantae; Streptophyta; Magnoliopsida; Poales; Poaceae
Description: partial small subunit ribosomal RNA
Source: RNAcentral
AUGAGUUUGAAUUUAAAUCUUUCAAUCUUGGCCUUUCCUAUUGUUUCGGAACAAGCACUUUGUUGUGAGUCCGGGGAAAUAAUCCCCAUGCCCAAAUUCUUGUCCACUCUUCCUUUUCUCUCCUUUUCUUUCUUUGUUUUUUCUGUUUUUAGUAGAGUUUUGGCAGAAGAGGGAGAGAGAAGAAAGCCCAGCUGGGCCUCCCAACUACCGCACCGGCCCAUCCACUUCACGACCCAAGGCCCAGGCGAUGUCUAUCUAACCCUAGCCCCCAUCUCCUCUCGCUCUCUCCUCUUGAUCCCUCCAGCGCCGCCAAAGGGGAGGAGCCCCUCGUACCAGUGCCCGAUCCCCUCGCUGCCUCCACCUCGAGACCCCCGCGCACGACCUCCUCCUCGCCGCCCUUGGUGCCGCGCCACCGGUCCUCCCCGUCGCCCUCGUCAACGAUCAGCGCCGCGGCCUCCUCCCGAGCGCCCCUCCUUCCAGCAAGCGCGCCCGCCGGCGUCGACCACCACCACCAGGAGCUCCGCCGCCCCUCUGCUCCUGCUUCCUCUCCUGCGCCUCCGCCGGCCUGGUCCGCCUCGCCGCUGCCUCCGCCGGCCUCCCUCCGUCUCGUCCCCGCCGCCAAGUCCUUCGCCACCCUUCUGCACAUCACCGCCUGCCCGCCAUGGCCUCCUGCCAUGGACCAGAGGAACUGCGCCCCGCUCCUCCCUCGACCGCGCUAGUCACCGGAGCCGUGACGGCUGCCGCCCCGUGGCCGCUCCAUGCCUCACCGUCCCCUGUGUGUUCCGUCGCCUCGCACCCGUCGUCUGGCCAGCUGCGGGCCAGCGCCGCCGCCCGUCGACCUCCUCUGCCAUGGCCUUCUCCUCGUCUACGCCGACCGAUGCCAGCAGCGCCGGCCGCCGUCGUCCUGUUCGUAUUCCAGCGAGGCGAGGCACCGAGCUCCGCCGCAAGUCCCUCUGCUGCUCUGCGUCGCGCCGCUGCUCUGCUUCCCGGAGAACCUCGACGAGAACCUCGCUCGCGCCCCCUUUGUCCCGUCGCCAAGACCCGUAA